CCUACGGGAGGCAGCAGUGAGGUAAUUUUCUGCGAAUGGGCGAAAGCCUGACAGAGCAAUACCGCGUGAGGGACGAAGGCCUACGGGUUGUAAACUUCUUUUCUCAAGGAGGAAGAUCUGACGUUACUUGAGGAAUAAGCAUCGGCUAACCCUGUGCCAGCAGCCGCGGUAAUACAGGGGAUGCAAGUGUUAUCCGGAAUCAUUGGGCGUAAAGCGUCUGCAGGUUGAUCUUUAAGUCUUUUGUUAAAUCUUCGGGCUUAACCCGAAAUCUGCAAAAGAAACUAUUCAUCUUGAGUAUGGUAGAGGUAGAGGGAAUUUCCAGUGGAGCGGUGAAAUGCGUAGAUAUUGGAAAGAACACCAACAGCGAAGGCACUCUACUGGGCCAUUACUGACACUCAGAGACGAAAGCUAGGGGAGCAAACGGGGAUUAGAUACCCCGGUAGUCCUAGCUGUAAACGAUGGAUACUAGAUGUUGUUUAUCCUCUGGAUAGGCCAGUGUGUAGUCUACGUACGUAGUAUCCGCCGUCGGUAGUAGUGCGUCGCGAGAGUAGAACGUAACGUAAGUAAGUUAGUUAGUACGUUGUUAGAGNGCGACGGACGACGACGAGGAGGAGG
This 615-nucleotide ribosomal RNA is filed under the name uncultured bacterium. RNAcentral's name for it is "bacterial SSU rRNA". The stretch from base 1 to 524 matches the Rfam family "Bacterial small subunit ribosomal RNA", at positions 338 to 873 of the family's 1533-position model. The record is from RNAcentral.